GAAACCGUUCAGGGGUAAACCUGUGAAACCCAAAAGAUCGAAAGGGGAGAUUCAUCGUCGACGGCGUCGACGCGAGUCGGUGCGCGAUGCCCCGAAUGGUCCGUUCGCGCGGUUCCACGGCGAGGGCACGCCACCUUCGGCGAACGUUCGGCGUCGUAGUCGUGCACUUCUCCCCUAGUAGAACGUCGCGACCCGUUGCGUGUCGGUCUACGGCCCGAGUGGGAGCCUGUUGCGUCUCGCGUUCGCGCGAUCGCGACAGACCCUCGGUCGCCCGGCCGGCUGCGCGACGGUACUCUGACGGUAUCGGGCCGCAACCAAUCCAUUUUCGAAUGUGUUUGCGUCAGGCCCGCCGCAAGCUCGAUCAGUUCCUACCCGGUGGUUCCACGGACCUUGCGCCGUCCCCGGGCCUGAUCAGCUGUUGGCCGGCGGUGUCCUCGGACUGGCCAAAGCUUCGAUUACCGGUCAGCGACGCUAUUGCUUUGGGUACUCUCAGGACCCGUCUUGAAACACGGACCAAGGAGUCUAACAUGUGCGCGAGUCAUUGGGCUCAGUGAAACCUAAAGGCGAAAUGAAAGUGAAGAGUCGACCCUCUGCGGAGGGUCGACCGAGGGAGGAUGGGCCGCGCACAGCACGGCCCCGCACUCCCGGGGCGUCUCGUUCUCAUUGCGAGAGGAGGCGCACCCAGAGCGUACACGUUGGGACCCGAAAGAUGGUGAACUAUGCCUGGUCAGGACGAAGUCAGGGGAAACCCUGAUGGAGGUCCGUAGCGAUUCUGACGUGCAAAUCGAUCGUCGGAACUGGGUAUAGGGGCGAAAGACUAAUCGAACCAUCUAGUAGCUGGUUCCCUCCGAAGUUUCCCUCAGGAUAGCUGGCACUCGUUCAUUGCGAGUUUCAUCUGGUAAAGCGAAUGAUUAGAGGCCUUGGGGCCGAAACGACCUCAACCUAUUCUCAAACUUUAAAUGGGUGAGAUCUCUGGCUUGCUCGAACUAUGAAGCCACGAGAUUUGAAUCAGAGUGCCAAGUGGGCCAAUUUUGGUAAGCAGAACUGGCGCUGUGGGAUGAACCAAACGCAGAGUUAAGGCGCCUAAGACGACGCUUAUGGGAUACCAUGAAAGGCGUUGGUUGCUUAAGACAGCAGGACGGUGGCCAUGGAAGUCGGAA
RNAcentral lists this ribosomal RNA (1160 nucleotides) under Macropis europaea. RNAcentral's name for it is "eukaryotic LSU rRNA". It matches the Rfam family "Eukaryotic large subunit ribosomal RNA", at positions 401 to 1266 of the family's 3401-position model. The record is from RNAcentral. Lineage: Eukaryota; Metazoa; Arthropoda; Insecta; Hymenoptera; Melittidae.